GUAUGGUGCGAGCGUUAAUCGGAAUUACUGGGCGUAAAGCGUGCGCAGGCGGUUAUAUAAGACAGAUGUGAAAUCCCCGGGCUCAACCUGGGACCUGCAUUUGUGACUGUAUAGCUAGAGUACGGUAGAGGGGGAUGGAAUUCCGCGUGUAGCAGUGAAAUGCGUAGAUAUGCGGAGGAACACCGAUGGCGAAGGCAAUCCCCUGGACCUGUACUGACGCUCAUGCACGAAAGCGUGGGGAGCAAACAGGAUUAGAUACCCUGGUAGUCCACGCCCUAAACGAUGUCAACUGGUUGUUGGGUCUUCACUGACUCAGUAACGAAGCUAACGCGUGAAGUUGACCGCCUGGGGAGUACGGCCGCAAGGUUG
Molecule: ribosomal RNA, 369 nt
Filed under: uncultured bacterium
Lineage: Bacteria
Description: bacterial SSU rRNA
Rfam family: Bacterial small subunit ribosomal RNA
Source: RNAcentral